AGCUUGCUACUGGAUCAGCGGCGGACGGGUGAGUAAUGCUUAGGAAUCUGCCUAUUAGUGGGGGACAACGUUCCGAAAGGGGCGCUAAUACCGCAUACGUCCUACGGGAGAAAGCAGGGGACCUUUGGGCCUUGCGCUAAUAGAUGAGCCUAAGUCGGAUUAGCUAGUUGGUAGGGUAAAGGCCUACCAAGGCGACGAUCUGUAGCGGGUCUGAGAGGAUGAUCCGCCACACUGGGACUGAGACACGGCCCAGACUCCUACGGGAGGCAGCAGUGGGGAAUAUUGGACAAUGGGGGGAACCCUGAUCCAGCCAUGCCGCGUGUGUGAAGAAGGCCUUUUGGUUGUAAAGCACUUUAAGCGAGGAGGAGGCUACCUAGAUUAAUACUUUAGGAUAGUGGACGUUACUCGCAGAAUAAGCACCGGCUAACUCUGUGCCAGCAGCCGCGGUAAUACAGAGGGUGCGAGCGUUAAUCGGAUUUACUGGGCGUAAAGCGUGCGUAGGCGGCCAAUUAAGUCAAAUGUGAAAUCCCCGAGCUUAACUUGGGAAUUGCAUUCGAUACUGGUUGGCUAGAGUAUGGGAGAGGAUGGUAGAAUUCCAGGUGUAGCGGUGAAAUGCGUAGAGAUCUGGAGGAAUACCGAUGGCGAAGGCAGC
This 652-nucleotide ribosomal RNA is filed under the name Acinetobacter sp. DH05. Its description in RNAcentral is "bacterial SSU rRNA". It matches the Rfam family "Bacterial small subunit ribosomal RNA", at positions 77 to 725 of the family's 1533-position model. The record is from RNAcentral. Lineage: Bacteria; Pseudomonadati; Pseudomonadota; Gammaproteobacteria; Moraxellales; Moraxellaceae.